UCAUUUGCCAGCGGACUGCGAUGACGGGAGUCAGCUUGAUCGUCACUAUCAAUGGAGCUCUCACUGGAAAUAGAGGCGGUGAUCAAAUCUCCAUCCAAGUCAGCAGGAUUUGCCCUACUACGUAUGCAUGCCGGUCUUGGAAGAGGUAAAAACAAUGAAGACUUGGAACCUUUUUCCAGUUUUGGCUUAGUGGAGAUACUAAUUUCAGAAGCUGUACGACUUACAGCUGCAGAGCGCAAACCAGGAAGUGGAAGUGGUUGAGCAUUGGACCUUUCAACAAAACUUUGACUCCUCCCUACUUGCUUGGAAGGGGAAGUUGAUCUAGAUUCUGCUCGGGACUGGGAUCCUAGCUCCGAAACUGUAUCAUUGCAAGGUCUGCGAGACCCUCCUGAUUUACUGCUUGCUUUACCUUCACAUGUGAUCUUAAUUUUUUGAUGUAUUGUGCAAAUUAUACCAUCCUUACUUGCUUUUUUCUUCGACGAUGACUUUCCCCACCAAGAACGCAUUUUUCUUAUUCUUCAAUAUUUACCAAAAAAAGAAUAAAGCAGCUGGAAAUUUCUUCUAAGGCAAUUCCGUUUCUAAAACCAACAACCAAUCGUGCAACACUUUAUUCUAAAAUUCUAAAACCUGAACAAAAAAAACAAUGAAAAAUAUAACAUGGUCAAUAAUUAGCAAGACUGUGUCUAUGUCACUGUCAACUCCAAAAUCAAAUUAAACAAAAGUGAGAAAAAUUGCAUGUCUGAAUGUUAUACUGAAGCAAUGAACUGAUCAAAAAAAAAAAAAAACCUCACAGGCAAUAUGAAAAGUCAAAAUUAGUCAGCCAAUUUUGACUGAUUAGCAAAGCUACCUCAUCCAACAACCUCAAAAAAGGAACCACAUUUUUAUACUUAAAACCGCGUAAAUUAAGCACGUCUUGUACGUGCAUUAUAUAUAAUCACAACGCAAAUCAUAUUAGUUCAAAUUUCUAACUACAUAUAGGAACUGGCAAAAUAAACACGUGCGCUAAAAAUAAAAUCUGAAAUUCAUUCACUAAAAAUAACUCGAUUUUUCUCAAAUGAACUAAACAGAGUUUUACGAUCUUUAACUUAGUUCAAAACGACGGCGUUAAUAGACAGAUCUCAGCACAGGCUAAAAAUAAAGACAUAAAAAAGAAUACUAAUAAUAAUAACAAAAAAUUGUACUCACCGGCACAUGUUUUAACGGCAGUUUGAAUCUGAAGUGAAGAAGAAACGUACGUCUGAGAGAUUAGUUGCGUAAUGUUGAGAUGAGAACUGGUUGAAUGUAAUCGUGGAGAAAUGAAAGAACCCUAGUCAAAACGGCAGCGUAUUGAGGGAUUCCUUUGCAAGAAGAAUUUUGUUGUUGUUGAGUUCAAAGAGAGAGAUCGCGUAAAAAGAAGACAGAGAUUGAUAGAAAUGUAGAGAGAGAAAGAGAAGGAAAGGGAAGAGAGAGAGAGUAUGUCUGAGCCCAAGACAUGGAGUUGUCUGUGCGUUGAUUUUACAAUUAUUAAAAAAAAUACAUAUAUAUAUAUAUAUAUUAAAAUUAUAUUAUAUUAUAAUUAUUAAAAAGUAAUGAUGGUGAUUGCCGCAUUGGUAAAUUUCCGAGUACAGUAAACUCGUUUUUAACCGUUAGUUACCCCAAAAAAAUUUAAAAAGAAAAAAAUCUUUAGGGGAGAUGGACUGAUGGAGCAUGCCACGUCAUCAUGCUGCUAAUUAUAAAUUUAUUAUGUAAUAAAUAUAAUAUGCGUCAAGAUGUCAUCUAAAAUAAUAAUAAUAAUAGAUAAUAUUAUGUACUGUAUUAAUAUUAUGUUCUGUAUUUGAUUAUUGCCAGAUUUUUCUUUAUUUGAAAGUGACUUUUUUUUGGUAAUUAUAAUUUUUUAUUUUACCGUUAUAGUAUAUUUUAGUUUAUUUAAUGACUUGCGUGGUCGAUCUUACUAAGAUUUUAAAAUUUUUCUUUAAAUUUAAUGUAAUGUUUUAGUGAUAUUACUCACUUAAUGUUUUUCAACACACAAAAUAUUAGCAACACAAUAUAAUAAACUACAAAUACUAAUAAAUAAAUAAACAAGCAAAAGAAGAAUUGUAACUUUAUAAUAUAUAUUCAAAAUUAAUAUAGAAAUUAUUUUUUUUUACAAGAAAUGAAAUAAUCGAAACCAGAAAUUAAUGAUUAUUGGAAUCUGCUUGUUUGAGUGCUCGAGGACAAGUUUAUUCCCCAUCAAAACAAAUUUAAAUGUUGACGAGAUAAACUGAUCAUCUCAACAUAUACGACCAGAUUUCUACAUCAAAAUUUGCUAUUGUGUUGCGCGUUGGGCUCACGACCUGCGUGGCUUAUUCUCAAAGAUCACAUGGGUUCAUUGCUGCUGCGCUACUAGUGCUAGGUUUGCUACUGUGUUGAGUGCUGGGCUUGCGAUUUGUGUGGCUACCUACUGCCUACUGCUGUGAUUUUCUGACUCACAUGCUGGGCUCAUGACGAUCGCUGGCGAUAACGGCUAUGAGGCUGAGAGGGUGCGGCUGUUGGCUAUGCGGUAGGCAGUUGGUGUCUUGUGUUGUUGUACAUUUGUUUCACUUGUUUAAUUUAUGGCUAGGGAUACGGUAGCCUCAAGCCUGUUUUGAUUUUGAUUUUUUUUUUAAUUUGAAUUAUUUUUUUAUUUUAUAUAUUAUAGAGUUUUUACUAAAGACCAUAAUCAGGCCCACUAUAUACAAACUUUAUAUCUUUUAUCCUUAAUAACGUGUCUAAGAAGGAAAAAAAUAGGACAUCCGCAUUAAAAAAAAAAAUACAAAUAUUUCCUAUUGUCAUUUUUCCAAGAUCUUCCAAUUUCUGGUCUGUGGACCAAAGCACAUUCUUGGUUUUUGAUUCGUUAUUACUUCCGAGUUUUGUCUCUUGUGUUGGUUGGAUGAGGACGCUGGAGAAUGACAUGGGGCUGGCUUGUUUCCUAACAAGCAUUAUCACCGCUCGGUAUGCUCAUCUUAGCCAGCCAGCAUAAAUCACACAUAAAUGACAAUGGCCUGAUAUUGUGACCUAAUUACUACAUUUAUCUCUUCACUCAAAAAUUUUCUCUUUUGACUUUUGGUCCAGAAGAGGGCUUCGGCAGCCCAACUGCAUUUAAGCUUUGCAGGGCUAUCGCAACUCCAGGAAACAUCACAGCAUCUCCAGUCAAUUUGCUCAAAACUUAUCUUCUUUGACUCUGAAUCACAGUCAUUCAUCAUGGUGGAAUAACUCAACUUAAAAAAAUUUUAUACGGUCCUAACAUAGCAACUCGAUUAAUAUCUUAGAUUUCUUCUACAAAUAACUUCAAUUUCUUAUCAGUAAGCAGAGCCAAAAGAAAAAACUUUUCACAAACAAAUCAAACGAGAUGCAUCAAGCCUCAAACUUCUCACCAAAAGGAUAUCCAAAGGCAAUAACUAAACAAACUUUGAUACUCAAAUUUUAAUUCACGACACCGAAACUAAUUAAACAUUUCAUAAAGCUCCCAACUUUCAAAGGCCAAACAACAGCAUAUAAAAACCCAAGAUCCCAUAUCCCUUUUUCUCUUAUUUUCCCUCAGUUUCUCAGCUACCAAACACAUAACCUGUGAAUAUGUGUGUGUAAAAUAAUAAUAAUAAUAAUAAUAAUAAUAAAACUCUGUUUUUUUUUCCCGGACAAAACUUAUACUAAAAACAAAAUAACCCAUUAAAGAGAAGAAUAGUUACAACCCCAUAAACGAACCUGAAUCGCGGCUGGCCGGAGGCGGGACUCAGCUGAAACUAUGGCGGUUGCAGCGGCGUUAACGGUCUCGACGCUGUCGUGAACACUACUCAUCUUAUUUUCAAAUUUUCAAAACAUGAAACGACGACACAAACGAGUUGUGUAAUAACAUCUACAGCUUCCGUUUGGAUCUCCAAACGAAUUUGAAAAUAAGAUGAGUAGAGUUCACAAACGACUCAGCUCAGGGGCCAAAAUAGUUCUUUCCAAAGGUGCAGCACCCUUCACAAAAGGGUGAUCCAAAAGCUUAACUGCUGUUGGACGGUUUAAGGGAUUACGUUGCAAACACAACCUAAUAAAAUCCUUUCCUUCAUCAGAGAGGUCAUCUGGAAUUGUUGGGAGUUCCUUACUAUUCCCAAUCUUAAACAUAGCAGCAACCUGCAGAUCAUAACAUGCAACUAUCUCACACAAUGAACUGAGCUCCAACUGGACAACAUAAACUAUCAUUUUCUGUAUAAGAAAGAUGAAAAUUUAAGAUCGUUUCUGUUGCUUCAGUACUGACCCCUUCAUACUGGCUCCAAGGUGGUUUUGUUGUAGCCAUUUCCAAAACAGUGCACCCAAGACUCCAAAUAUCAACAGCAAGAUUGCAACCACUUGAGUUCUUUAUAACCUGAGUGUAAAUUUAGAUUUGAUAUCACAAUUGAGAACCAUGUUGUUAUUAAUGAGUUCAGGUACAAAAAGGAAUAAUUUCUGACCUCAGGAGCCAUCCAGUAAUGGCUUCCCUUGAAUGAUAAUGGACAUGAAUGGCCGGCAAUCUGCACAGAGCAUUUAAUGUUUCGCUAAAUUCUCGUUUAAUCAGAUGCAAUUUAUACAUUUAUUAAAAGAAAUUAUUAUGCCUAAACUUACAUGCUUUGCCAUCCCAAAAUCUGCCAGCUUGACCCGCCCAUUUGGAUCCACAAGUAUGUUUGCUCCUUUAAUGUCCCUGUAAAAUAAAUGCCCUUUAUUUAAGAAUACAAACAAUGUACAAAUUGAGCAGAGUAGCUAAUCUGUAUAUAGCAGCUUCAAACUUAUUCAAGAAUAGGAGGAUUAUCACCUGUGGACUGUAUGCUUUGAGUGUAAGAAUGCAAGCCCAGACAAGAUUUGUUGUGUAUAAUUACGAAUUGCCGGUUCGCCAAACUGUCCAUAAUCCUGGAGAAGUUUAUAAAUUGACCCACCAGAUACAUACUCCAGGUAUAUAUAAAGUUUGUCCUCAACCUGUUCGGGAAAAAAAAUCCAAUAGUCAUAUUUGUACCAUAUGAAAAGACAAUGUCUGAAAAUAAAUAUCAACAGCUUUAAAUAACAAUUGUCACAUGCUUCAGUGAAUGGAAAUAGAACAAAAAUACUUACUGUUUUAGAUCCAUAGUAUUGCACGAUGUUUGGAUGCCGUAAGCGACUUAAUAAUACAAUUUCCUGCCACAGAACUCGAGUAAGAAUGUUUUCUUAAAGCUAUGCAUAUGUUACAAAACAAGGGAGCAAUUAAAUAAACAAUUCAAAGAAAGGAUGCAGGCAGCGGGGGGGAGGCAAAGAAACAAAAACCAUUAUCUAAUAAACUGAAAGCUGACUGUUAUACUUGGAAGUGAUCAUACCUGCAUCAGCUGCUUAGCACUCUCCUUUGACUUGGCAUCAUCAAAUAAUGUAACUUCCUUCAUUGCACACAUUUCACCACUAUCACUGGACCAGUUAAGAGGAGAAAUCAGAUACAUACAAACUUAAAUAAUGACCAACAUGUAAAAAUACCAAAACAGAUUAAAACAUCAUGUUUAAAAACCUCAGUCCUAAUGAGCCAUUUGUAAUCGAUAAUCAAGAAAAUCUGCUAACACUGAUCUCAACUACUUAGCUUGCUAAUGUACUAAAUUUGAUGGGAGGUUAAUACAAUUGUUUUGCAAGCCGUUUAUUAAUAAAAUCAAAGUGCACAUGCAUUAAAAAAAAUUAAAAAAAAGCAAUAUUCUUUGUGGCAAACCUGUUAAAACAAACAUAAACCACAAACCUGUUAAAACCAACAUAAACAUGUCCAAAUGUGCCUCUACCCAGCAUCUUUCCCUUUUUCCAGUGUGACUCGGGGCUAACUGGAUUUUCCACUCUUCCUGGACUUCGCGGCACAGAGGGUGAUGUUGCAGCCGAAUUUGAAUGAGAAAAGGGAGAAGAAUUGGAUAUUGUUAUAGGAGGAAGAGGCAAGCGGUGGCUUUGUUGUUUUCCAUCAUCAGGCCAGCUUGUCUGCGACUCAAUGGGUGCACCUCCUGCUCUAGGAUGAAUAGGGGUGACAGCACCACUUUGGAUUCUGGAGCUGGGGCCUGGGCUAGUCAUUCUGGGACUAGGUAUUGGUGAAUAUUCUGGGCUACCCCUGCUUUGUAACUGUUGCCAAAAUAACUGUCCUGACAUAUCACCUCCCAUCGAAUUAUUCCCAGAAUUUUGACCAGAACCUGGACUAGAGCAGUGGCCAGAGCCAAGUAAUGUGACAUCUGCAUAAGGCUUCCCAGACCAGAAAGCAGAAUUCACGACUUGCUCACUACCAAAUGCUCUCAGUGGACUUCUGGAGGGACUUGACAACGAGCUGUCAGGAGCACUGCUGAAAGCACCAUGAUACGGAACCUGUAGAUUUGGCACAUGACCACUUAAACGUCUUUGUUUGGGUGAUGGGGAGAGACGAUUACUCAAUGAAAGAUUUGCCGGUUUUUUUUCCUCUCUUGAACUUGUUUGAGAGGCAUUGGAAAGAUGAUCCUUGGGCAUCACACUUAAGGGGUGGAAAGAAAGAUGGAGUCAAUUGAUCAGGAAUAAGUAGAUAUAAUAAAACAUCAAUAACAUGUGAACACAAAUUUCCCAUCCAUUUACAUUUUUAUCCAUUGUCAAAGCGUCAAGGUUAAUGAGUUACGAGCAGGCUAACCUGGAAGGGCUGCUUGCAGCUGUUCUAGUCCCAUUGUCAUAGUCAUUUGCCAGCGGACUGCGAUGACGGGAGUCAGUUUGAUCAUCACUAUCAAUGGAGCUCUCACUGGAAAUAGAGGCGGUGAUCAAAUCUCCAUCCAAGUCAGCAGGAUUUGCCCUACUACGUAUGCAUGCCGGUCUUGGAAGAGGUAAAAACAAUGAAGACUUGGAACCUUUUUCCAGUUUUGGCUUAGUGGAGAUACUAAUUUCAGAAGCUGUACGACUUACAGCUGCAGAGCGCAAACCAGGAAGUGGAAGUGGUUGAGCAUUGGACCUUUCAACAAAACUUUGACU
RNAcentral lists this long non-coding RNA (6927 nucleotides) under Citrus x clementina. RNAcentral's name for it is "Citrus clementina (C. clementina) long non-coding RNA (CCLE_LNC000605)". Lineage: Eukaryota; Viridiplantae; Streptophyta; Magnoliopsida; Sapindales; Rutaceae. The record is from RNAcentral.